Non-coding RNA from Paramuricea clavata, 571 nucleotides. The record is from the annotation of a GenBank genome assembly. NCBI's taxonomy places the organism in Eukaryota, Metazoa, Cnidaria, Anthozoa, Malacalcyonacea, Plexauridae.
AUUGUUGUUCUGUUUGUAAUUUUUUUUUAAACAAGUUUGUUUGCAUGUAUUUUUUUUCAAACAUUUUUUGUUUGCAUGGAUUUUUUUUCUGUCCCCCCCUCACUUUUCUAAUGGUCCGUCCCUUACAAAUUAAUAGCGAGCUUAAGAUCUACAACGCGAACUUACGACGCGGACGUCGCAUUAAACAAGUUUUAUUUUAAAACGAUGGCAAAUUCCAUUAAAAUAUUUGUAUCACAGUAAAUAAAAUGAAAUUAUACUGGAAAAAAUGUACAACAUAACAGAGGCUAGCAAUAUAUUAACAAGAUAUUUUUUAUCAUAAGUUUUUACGACUUCUAUGACGACGAGUCUUUGCAAAUAUCACGUCGUCUCGGAUGGUAGUUUUGGCGGGAAAAUGUGCAUUCGUAACAAUAGUCUAUAAAGUCUGGUUUCUAUCAUUUCAUAUGGCUGUUAACGUGUCAUCACAGUGUCACAAAUCUCAAAGAAAUAAACUCUGACAACUCUGACUAGGCUUACACGCGAAAACUAGGCUUCGGUAAGCACGUCCGCGUCACAAAUUCGCGUUGUAGAUCUU